This 851-nucleotide ribosomal RNA is filed under the name Skvortzovia pinicola. Its description in RNAcentral is "partial large subunit ribosomal RNA". It matches the Rfam family "Eukaryotic large subunit ribosomal RNA", at positions 77 to 915 of the family's 3401-position model. Lineage: Eukaryota; Fungi; Basidiomycota; Agaricomycetes; Hymenochaetales. The record is from RNAcentral.
CCCCUAGUAACUGCGAGUGAAGCGGGAAAAGCUCAAAUUUAAAAUCUGGCGGCUUUGCCGUCCGAGUUGUAAUCUGGAGAAGUGCUUUCUGUGCCGGACCGUGUACAAGUCUCUUGGAACAGAGCGUCAUAGAGGGUGAGAAUCCCGUCUUUGACACGGACUGCCGGUGCUAUGUGAUGCGCUCUCGAAGAGUCGAGUUGUUUGGGAAUGCAGCUCAAAAUGGGUGGUGAAUUCCAUCUAAAGCUAAAUAUUGGCGAGAGACCGAUAGCGAACAAGUACCGUGAGGGAAAGAUGAAAAGCACUUUGGAAAGAGAGUUAAACAGUACGUGAAAUUGUUGAAAGGGAAACGCUUGAAGUCAGUCGCGUCGUCCGGAACUCAGCCUUGCUCUUGCUUGGUGUACUUUCCGGUUGACGGGCCAACAUCGAUUUUGGCUGGCGGAUAAAGGCAGUUGGAAUGUGGCACCCUCGGGUGUGUUAUAGCCUCCUGUUGAACACGCUGGCCGGGAUCGAGGACCGCAGCGCGCCUUUUGGCCGGGGCUUUGCCCACGUAACGCGCUUAGGAUGUUGGCGUAAUGGCUUUAAACGACCCGUCUUGAAACACGGACCAAGGAGUCUAACAUGCCCGCGAGUGUUAGGGUGGAAAACCCUUCCGCGUAAUGAAAGUGAAAGUUGGGACCUCUGUCAUGGAGGGCACCGACGCCCGGCCUUGAACUUCUGUGACGGUGCUGCGGUGGAGCGUGCAUGUUGGGACCCGAAAGAUGGUGAACUAUGCCUGAAUAGGGUGAAGCCAGAGGAAACUCUGGUGGAGGCUCGUAGCGAUUCUGACGUGCAAAUCGAUCGUCAAAUUUGGG